Molecule: ribosomal RNA, 849 nt
Filed under: uncultured organism
Description: bacterial SSU rRNA
Rfam family: Archaeal small subunit ribosomal RNA
Source: RNAcentral
CAGCAGUUCAAGUCGCAUCCCUUUUUAUUGGGUCUAAAACAUCCGUAGCUUGUCGAGUAAGUCUCUUGUGAAAUCCCACGUCUCAAGCGUGGGGCUUGCAGGAGAUACUGCACGGCUAGAGAUCGGUAGACGUAAGCAGUACGCCGGAGGUAAUGGUAAAAUAUGUUAAUCUUCGGUGGACUAACAAUGAGCGAAGGCAGCUUACGAGGACGAAUCUGACAGUCAGGGAUGAAGGCCAGGGGCGCAAAACGGAUUAGAUACCCGUGUAGUCCUGGCAGUAAACACUGUUCACUAAACAUCGGGCCCUCUUCGGGAGGAUUCGGUGCUGAAGCGAAGGCGAAGAGUGAACUACCUGGGAAGUAUAGUCGCAAGAUCGAAACUUAAAGGAAUUGGCGGGGAGACAUACAACGAGUGACGCGUGCGGUUCAAUUAGAUUCUACACCGUGAACCUCACCAGGAGCGACAGCAGGAUGAAGGUCAGUCUGAAGGGCUUACCUGACACGCUGAGCGGAGAUGCAUGGCCGACGUCAGCCUGUGCUGUGAAGUGACCUGUUAAAUCAGGUAACAGGCGAGACCCGUAUCGAUAAUUACUACAGAAAUGGGUACUUUAUCGAGACUGCCUUGGUAACAAGGAGGAAGGUGCGGGCUACGUUAGGUGAGUACAUCCCUAAUCCCCUGGGCUACACGCGCGCGGCAAUGGUACAUUCAAAUGGAUGCGACUCCGAGAGGAGAAGCUAAUCCCCUAAAGUGUAUCUUAGUCCAGAUUGAGGGUUGCAACCCACCCUCAUGACGCUGGAAUUCGUAGUAAUCGGAUAUUAGCAUUGUCCGGUGAAUAAGUCCCUGUCUCUU